GGAAAAGGGGUGGGGCGGUGCGUGGGACUCAGCCACCCUCUGCGACUGAGGCCUGCCACCAGCCCAGGGCCAGCCCUCGGGGAAGAGGCCACACCAGGGCCUGCGGAGUGGUGGUGGAGCUCUCUGGUGGUGGAGGGUUGCCCACAUCCUUCUCCUCUUCCUUUCCCUGGUCUACACCUGCCCAAGGUGUGAAAAAGCCCAGGCCCUCUCUACAGCCUGCAGACAGCGCCAGGCCGGGCGAGGGUGCAGUUUGAGGACGGGAGGGGCAGCCAUUUGGAACUGGGACCUGUGGGCCACCAGAGAACCUAAAAGCAAACAUGUCUGGCCAGCGACGGGAUUAACUCUGAGUGCGGGAUCAAAACACUUCCCGUCAGUGUGAGCUCACUCAGUGAUUUAGCGAAUGAGCACGGUCUUCCUCAGCCCCUUCCUGAGAGUUUGGCCCUCCCCGCCCUGGGGUCCCUCCUGGAGCUUCCGGCCUUGAUAGCUCUGCAGAAAAUGCUAAGAGCCCAAGAAGGUUGUGAAGGGUGUGUGUGUGUGUGUGUNNNNNNNNNNUGUGUCUGUGUGUUUGUGUGUCUGUGUGUUUUUGUGUGUGUCUGUGUGUUUAUGUGUCUGUGUUUGUGUGUCUGUGUGUUUGUUUGUGUGUCUGUGUGUUUGCAUCUGUGUGUGUGUCCGUGUGUUUGUGUGUGUCUAUGUGUGUCUGUAUGUGUUUGUGUGUCUGUGUGUNNNNNNNNNNUGUGUGUUUGUGUGUCUGUGUGUGUGUGUCUGUGUGUUUGUGUGUGUGUGUACAUCUGUGUAUAUUUGUGUCAGCGUCUGUGUGUGUGUGUACUGGGAGGGCAGUGGUCCCAGCUCCUCGAGGGCAUCAGGCUCUGUAGCAGGGCCCAUCUCAGCAGGAGGGUGCAACGGCCUCACCCACACCGUCCAGGCAGGUCUCCUGGGACCCCUUUUAGCCAGCACAGGUGGCUUCUCCCUAGGCUAAGACAUACGACACUAUCCGUCGUGGUGGUGCUUCAGACGGCAGCACGGGGAGUGGAGAUUUUGGGGCCGCAGUCUUUCCCAGCCCAAGGUGCCCCAGGGCCUGCCCUGGGAUGCGGGUUCCUGCCAGAAGUGCCUUUUGCUGCCUGGAAUCAUGCGGAAUGUGGGCUCUUCCCAGGUCAACCUGGGGAGCCCCAGUCAGGAGAAAAUGGUGAAGAUGUAAUCACCACACUCAGGUGUAACCUCUGCAGCUGGAUUUCUAAACUAGAACCACUGGUCACGGGAUUCAGAUGUCCCUGA
Molecule: long non-coding RNA, 1272 nt
Filed under: Piliocolobus tephrosceles (Ugandan red Colobus)
Lineage: Eukaryota; Metazoa; Chordata; Mammalia; Primates; Cercopithecidae
Description: lncRNA (ENSPTEG00000028568.1)
Source: RNAcentral